Molecule: ribosomal RNA, 206 nt
Filed under: Halomonas sp. CA1-4XX
Lineage: Bacteria; Pseudomonadati; Pseudomonadota; Gammaproteobacteria; Oceanospirillales; Halomonadaceae
Description: partial 16S ribosomal RNA
Rfam family: Bacterial small subunit ribosomal RNA
Source: RNAcentral
GAAUCGCUAGUAAUCGUGGAUCAGAAUGUCACGGGUGAAUACGUUCCCGGGCCGUUGUACACACCGCCCGUCACACCAUGGGAGUGGACUGCACCARAAGUGGUUAGCUUAACCUUCGGGAAAGCGAUCACCACGGUGUGGUUCAUGACUGGGGUGAAGUCGUAACAAGGUAGCCGUAGGGGAACCUGCGGCUGGAUCACCUCCUU